UACGUAGGCAGCGAGCGUUGUUCGGAGUUACUGGGCGUAAAGGGUGCGUAGGCGGUUGGUUAAGUUUGGUGUGAAAUCUCCCGGCUCAACUGGGAGGGUGCGCCGAAUACUGAAUGACUAGAGUGCGGGAGAGGAUAGUGGAAUUCCUGGUGUAGCGGUGAAAUGCGUAGAUAUCAGGAGGAACACCGGUGGUGUAGACGGCUAUCUGGACCGUAACUGACGCUGAGGCACGAAAGCGUGGGUAGCAAACAGG
This 253-nucleotide ribosomal RNA is filed under the name uncultured bacterium. Its description in RNAcentral is "partial 16S ribosomal RNA". It matches the Rfam family "Bacterial small subunit ribosomal RNA", at positions 524 to 776 of the family's 1533-position model. The record is from RNAcentral.